RNAcentral lists this ribosomal RNA (1011 nucleotides) under Arundellina typhae. RNAcentral's name for it is "SSU rRNA". It matches the Rfam family "Eukaryotic small subunit ribosomal RNA", at positions 90 to 1113 of the family's 1831-position model. Lineage: Eukaryota; Fungi; Ascomycota; Dothideomycetes; Pleosporales; Lindgomycetaceae. The record is from RNAcentral.
CGAAUGGCUCAUAAAUCAGUAUCGUUUAUUUGAUAGUACCUUACUACUUGAUAACCGUGGUAAUUCUAGAGCUAAUACAUGCUAAAACCCCGACUUCGGGAGGGGUGUAUUUAUUAGAUAAAAAACCAAUGCCCUCCGGGGCUCUUUGGUGAUUCAUGAUAACUUAACGGAUCGCAUGGCCUUGCGCCGGCGACGGUUCAUUCAAAUUUCUGCCCUAUCAACUUUCGAUGGUAAGGUAUUGGCUUACCAUGGUUUCAACGGGUAACGGGGAAUUAGGGUUCGAUUCCGGAGAGGGAGCCUGAGAAACGGCUACCACAUCCAAGGAAGGCAGCAGGCGCGCAAAUUACCCAAUCCCGACACGGGGAGGUAGUGACAAUAAAUACUGAUACAGGGCUCUUUUGGGUCUUGUAAUUGGAAUGAGUACAAUUUAAACCCCUUAACGAGGAACAAUUGGAGGGCAAGUCUGGUGCCAGCAGCCGCGGUAAUUCCAGCUCCAAUAGCGUAUAUUAAAGUUGUUGCAGUUAAAAAGCUCGUAGUUGAAACUUGGGCCUGGCUGGCCGGUCCGCCUCACCGCGUGUACUGGUCCGGCCGGGCCUUUCCUUCUGGAGAGCCUCAUGCCCUUCACUGGGUGUGUUGGGGAACCAGGACUUUUACUUUGAAAAAAUUAGAGUGUUCAAAGCAGGCCUUUGCUCGAAUACGUUAGCAUGGAAUAAUAGAAUAGGACGUGCGAUCCUAUUUUGUUGGUUUCUAGGACCGCCGUAAUGAUUAAUAGGGAUAGUCGGGGGCAUCAGUAUUCAAUUGUCAGAGGUGAAAUUCUUGGAUUUAUUGAAGACUAACUACUGCGAAAGCAUUUGCCAAGGAUGUUUUCAUUAAUCAGUGAACGAAAGUUAGGGGAUCGAAGACGAUCAGAUACCGUCGUAGUCUUAACCGUAAACUAUGCCGACUAGGGAUCGGGCGAUGUUAUUAUUUUGACUCGCUCGGCACCUUACGAGAAAUCAAAGUUUUGGGUCU